Molecule: long non-coding RNA, 387 nt
Organism: Chinchilla lanigera (long-tailed chinchilla)
Lineage: Eukaryota; Metazoa; Chordata; Mammalia; Rodentia; Chinchillidae
Exons: 3
Source: RefSeq, a predicted model, not a curated record
GCCGCCCUUGCCGGCGCGGGACCACACGGACCCCACACUGGGAAGGAAUAGACCCACGAUCCAUUUGUGAAUAAGCCACGUGAAUCCGCUUUGUCCAGGCUAGAAGAGGAUCAGUGCUUAAGCUCACAAACGACUGGCCUUAAAACAUCUUAUCUUUGCGAACCAGAGUUUUCUACAGGGGCAGCAACCACAGUAAGAUUAUGAAGUGGGCUGGACAUCAGCAACACUUGUUCGUCCCUGUCUCCCAUCACCCCCUCCGUCCGUGGGACCGUCGAGAUGCAGGAAACAAACUGAGGACUCCCACCGAUUCUGCGUUUAUGGGGAAUUUGAUAAUCUCAUUAUAUACUACAAUGUAAUGAUGAUAGAAAUAAAGUGCACAGUAAAUGU